Molecule: ribosomal RNA, 239 nt
Filed under: uncultured bacterium
Lineage: Bacteria
Description: partial 16S ribosomal RNA
Rfam family: Bacterial small subunit ribosomal RNA
Source: RNAcentral
AGUAACGCGCAGGUAAUCUACCCUUAUAUCUGGGAUAACAUUGGGAAACUGGUGCUAAUACCGGAUACACUUCCAAGCUGCGGGGCGAGGGAGGAAAGGUGACCUCUUCAUGAAAGUUACCGUAUAGGGAUGAGCCUGCGUACCAUUAGCUAGUAGGUGGGGUAACGGCCCACCUAGGCGACGAUGGUUAGCGGGUCUGAGAGGAUGAUCCGCCACACUGGAACUGGAACACGGACCAG